UACGAAGGGGGCUAGCGUUGCUCGGAAUUACUGGGCGUAAAGGGCGCGUAGGCGGAUAGUUUAGUCAGAGGUAAAAGCCCAGGGCUCAACCUUGGAACUGCCUUUGAUACUGGCUAUCUUGAGUUCGGGAGAGGUGAGUGGAAUGCCGAGUGUAGAGGUGAAAUUCGUAGAUAUUCGGCGGAACACCAGUGGCGAAGGCGACUCACUGGCCCGAUACUGACGCUGAGGCGCGAAAGCGUAGGGAGCAAACAGG
Molecule: ribosomal RNA, 253 nt
Filed under: uncultured bacterium
Lineage: Bacteria
Description: partial 16S ribosomal RNA
Rfam family: Bacterial small subunit ribosomal RNA
Source: RNAcentral